Molecule: ribosomal RNA, 434 nt
Filed under: uncultured bacterium
Lineage: Bacteria
Description: bacterial SSU rRNA
Rfam family: Bacterial small subunit ribosomal RNA
Source: RNAcentral
GUAGGGAAUAUUGCGCAAUGGACGAAAGUCUGACGCAGCGACGCCGCGUGGGUGAAGAAGGUCUUUUGAUUGUAAAGCCCUGUGAGGGGGGACGAAAAAUUUAAAAUUGACGGUACCCCCAGAGGAAGGACCGGCUAAACACGUGCCAGCAGCCGCGGUAAUACGUGUGGUCCAAGCGUUGUCCGGAAUGACUGGGCGUAAAGGGUGCGUAGGCGGACACAUAAGUCAGGUGUGAAAUCCCCGGGCUCAACUUGGGAAGUGCGCUUGAAACUAUGUGUCUCGAGACUGUCAGGGGUAAGCGGAAUUCCCGGAGUAGCGGUGAAAUGCGUAGAUAUCGGGAAGAACACCGGUGGCGAAGGCGGCUUACUGGGGCAGAUCUGACGCUGAGGCACGAAAGCGUGGGGAGCAAACAGGAUUAGAUACCCUAGUAGUCC